CAAUACUUGUUAAAGAUGGUAUCGGCAACUUUCGUCUUCCUUGGCCUCUGCUUCCUCGGAGCGCUUUUGUCCUGCCAUGGAGGAACAAUUGACCAGGUACUGGUACAUCGGUGCCCUGAUAUAGAGUACAAAGGGGGCAAUGUCGACAAGGUGACGUCCUGCACGUAUGGGUGCGGCGGAGACGGCACGUACCAGUACUACGGAUUUUAC
This is a long non-coding RNA of Ornithodoros turicata, 210 nucleotides long. RefSeq lists it as uncharacterized. The record is from RefSeq and is a predicted model, not a curated record. The transcript is spliced from 3 exons. NCBI's taxonomy places the organism in Eukaryota, Metazoa, Arthropoda, Arachnida, Ixodida, Argasidae.